AGGACGAACGCUGGCGGCGUGCUUAACACAUGCAAGUCGAGCGGAAAGGCCCUUCGGGGUACUCGAGCGGCGAACGGGUGAGUAACACGUGAGUAAUCUGCCCCUAGCUCUGGGAUAGCUCCGGGAAACCGGGAUUAAUACCGGAUACGACCACUUUAGACAUCUGUUGUGGUGGAAAGAAUUUUGGCUAGGGAUGAGCUCGCGGCCUAUCAGCUUGUUGGUGGGGUAACGGCCUACCAAGGCGACGACGGGUAGCCGGCCUGAGAGGGCGACCGGCCACGACUGGGACUGAGACACGGCCCAGACUCCUACGGGAGGCAGCAGUGGGGAAUAUUGCGCAAUGGGCGAAAGCCUGACGCAGCGACGCCGCGUGGGGGAUGACGCCUUUCGGGGUGUAAACCGCUUUUCCCAAGGACGAGGAUGGACGGUACUUGGGGAAUAAGUCUCGGCUAACUACGUGCCAGCAGCCGC
Molecule: ribosomal RNA, 471 nt
Filed under: uncultured bacterium
Lineage: Bacteria
Description: SSU rRNA
Rfam family: Bacterial small subunit ribosomal RNA
Source: RNAcentral